This is a non-coding RNA of Heterocephalus glaber (naked mole-rat), 7238 nucleotides long. The record is from RefSeq and is a predicted model, not a curated record. Lineage: Eukaryota; Metazoa; Chordata; Mammalia; Rodentia; Bathyergidae.
UCUCUCACUAAAUCUUUCCUACUCUUAACCUCUGUUGUUCCUACAAUUCAUUCUUUGAUUUUAGAGAACACGAACUCGCAUUUUGGAUAUCUAGUAGGUUUGGAAGUUUCAUCUCUUCCCCUUGUAUCACCAGCAAUGAGAAAAUAACUAAGACACAACAUUUCUUCAUUUGAUCCAAUCCCAUUUGCAGUCCUAUUCAGGAAUUUGUUGCCUAUCUUGUUCAUAUUUUGACACGUUUUCCCCCAAUAAUUUCAAAACUGUAACUCUUACAUUUAGGUCUUUAAUUUAUUUUGACUUUAUUUUGUACAGGGGGAGAGAUAGAGAUGUAGUUUCAAAUCUUCUAUUUAAGGAUAUCCAGUUUCCCCAGCACCAUUUGUUAAAGUGAUUGUUUUUUCUCCAACAUAUAUUGUUGGCAUCUUUGUUGAGAGUCAGAGGCUGUUGCUCUAUGGAUUUAUUUCUGGAUCCUCUAUUCAAUUCCUUUGGUCUGUUUUUAUUUUUAUUCUAAUAUUGUACCAGUUUUGUUACCAUGGCUCUAUAGGAUAUUUUUGAAAUCGAGUGAUGAUGCUUCCAGUAUUACUAUCUUUUGCUUUGGCUAUUCAGGAACUUUUUGUUUCCAUGUAUAUUUUAAGAUCCUUCUUUUCCUAGUGCUAUAAAGAAUGACAUUGAUAUGUAGAUGGAGAUUGCAUUGAAUCUAUAAAUUUUGGUAGUAUGACUAGUUUAAUAAAAUUGCUUCUCCCAAUGCAUGAACAUAAGAGGUUAUUUCUUCUUCUAGUAUCUUCUUCAGUUUCUUUCUUCAGUGUUUUAUAAUUUUCAUUGCAGGCACAGGUACAUGGAGAUGCCCCAUGGUAGCCACACUUGCAGUCCAAAGUAUCAACUUGCACCAGGAGUUUGAGCUUCUAAGUUCAUGGCUGCUGCCAAGCUAGAGUUUAAUGGAUGGUAGAGGAAAAGGCAUUAGGAUAGAGUAUCCAUCCUUUCCAAAAGAGAGGUCAAGGGCUGGCGAUUUAGCUCAGUGGUUCCACCACCUGCCUCUCAAGCUAAGGACCCGAGUUCAAUCCCCAGUACCAAAAAAAAAAAAAAAGCCAAAACAAAAGAGAGGUCAAGGGCCAGGGAUUUAGCUCAAUGGCACCGUGUCUGCUUGCAAGCACAAGGUCCUGAGUUCGAUCCCUGGUACUGGGGGAAAAAGAGAGAGAGAAAGGACAAAAGAGAGGUCAAGGCAGUCUUAAAGAGAUGGGAUUCUGUCAUUAACAGUUGAAUAGGCAACUAUUACAGAAAAGCACCUUGAAUUAUCCCCAAGACCAAAGAAGGCAACUACCACAUAUGAGUAUCACGAGUUUACAGAUACAGCAUCCAGCUGCAGUAGAAGUGAUCUGUCAAAUGAAGAUAAGACACUAAAUCCCAGAGAGAUUAUAGACCUGGCUCUAGGAUAGCCAGAUUUUAUAAAAUGAAUAUUUUAUGCCUAGAAGAUGGGGCCAGCGAAGGUAAAUUGCUGUUAAAACUUUGGCUAGGACUUCUAAGAAAUGUUUGAAUUCCAUUUUCUGUCUCUUUAGUGCCAAAGCCAGUUCUCCUAAUGUUCACAUAAUGUUGCCUUCUUGCAAGCUUGUUUUUUGUUUGUUUGUUUGUUUUGUGGUACCAGGGAUCGAACUCGGGACCUUGCACUUAGGAGGCAGACAGCAGAAACACUGAGCUAAAUCCCCAGCCCACAAGCUUGUUUUUAGUAGGUAAUAAUAUGACAACCAAUGUAUGGUAGAAAAAUAACAUUACCAAGUCUCCAUGCUGGUGGCAUUUUAUGUCCUAUCAUGUUUUAGACAAUUAAGACAGUUUCUCAACCUUAGCACCAGGUAAUCUUUUGCUGUGGAGAGAACUUCUUGUGCAUCCUGUGGGGGAUAUUUUGCAGCAUUCCUGGGCUCUUCCUGCUGGAUCACAGUAGCCCCGCCACCACCACCAAGCCCUGGUUUUAACAACUAAAAGGUGUUGUGAGAAGUCUCCUGAAAAUCACUUCCAGUUGAUAACCACUGACACAUUAUUAUGAAAAUUAUGUCAUUUUACAAAUUUUAAAAUAUAUAGUUCUCGAGUAUUUAAAAGUUUUAAUACUUUCAAAAUAAAUUUGUGACUUUUACCUCCAUUAGUUCAUGUUGCUUAGUCAAGGUUAGGUUUGGACAGACAGCCUCCCUAGAAAGCAGUUAAGUUCCUUUGACCACUUUGUAUUCCAUUUUGGUAACUACCACUGACAUUUUAGAGGUACUGGGUGAAGUAUAUUUUAAAUUUAUACAGAAGUUGAUGAUGCUUACGUCCUUAAUUCAGCCAUAUUAAUUGAAAUUCGUUGUGAUAUAACUCUUGGUUUUUCUUUACAUUUCAAUACUAAAAAUUAUAUGGUUUUUAUGGUGAAUAGUAUGGCAUAUGAAUUAUGUCUCAUUAAUGCUGGUAUCUUAUUUAUUUAUUUUUAAUUUUUUUUAAGACAGGGUCUUGCUAUAUAGUUUGUGCUUAACAACCUACUUGUUAAAUGACUGUUUGGACUAUUAACCUGCUGCUUGGAUUUAUGAACCACUGCUUAGAAUUACAACUGGCAAUCAGUUAGGAUGCAGGAAUGUGAACAGCAGUGCUGCCUUAGGUGGCUUCUUCUACAGUGCAGUAUUGUAAGUUUUGCUGCUUGUACAAUACAGUACAGUACUGUAGUUUUAUGUUCUAUUAUACAUUACAGUACUGCAUAUAAGUUAUUCAAAUAAAGGCAAAGUUAUCAAAUUGAAGUUUCCUGACCAUUUCUUUGUUGUGAAUAUAAUAAUGUACACACUAUAUACAAUUCCUCAUUUAGUAACCAAUUCAAUUAACAAUCUAGUCACAGGAAUGAAAUAAGGAAUGCCUGUAUGUAAUCCUGUCUUUGGCAUGUAGGGUAAUUUGACUCUCUCCUUUAAUAUUUGUAGCACUUUUAUUUCUUUCUCUGGCCUGAUUGCUCUGGCUAACAUUUCCAGUACUAUAAUGAACAGGAGUGGUGAGGGUGGAUACCCUUAUCUUGUUCCUGCUUUUAGAGAAAAUAUGUUCAGUUUUUCCAUUCAGUACAAUGUUGUAGGAGGUAGAUUUCUGGAGAGAAGUAUUUGUCUGGUUGGUAGCUGGUGACUGUCCAUUGUUCCCCAGGGUGGAUAGAACCCUUCCCCAGUGAGGUGAGGCAAUUGACCCUCAGCUGACGUUAGAGGGAAGGUAUGAACAAUACUAGGUGUGGUCAUUUCCUAGCAUCACAAAGUACCACAAACUGGGUGGCUCAAAACAACAGAAAUGUAUUCUCUGACCAUCCUGGAGGCUGGAGGUCUGAGAUAGGUGUCAUCAGAGCCCUGCUCCCUCUGAGGGCUCUAGGGAAAGAUCCUUUGCCACAUCUUCCUAGUUUCUGGUGGUUCCUGAGUGUUCCUUGACUGAGUCAACAUAAUUACAAUCUCUGCCCACAUCUAGUACUGUGUCUCUGCUUUCUCUUAAGGACACCAGUCAUGGAAUUAAGGGCCCACUCUGAUCCAGCAUGACCUUAUAACUGGUUACAUCUGCAAAGACCCUAUUUCCAAAUAAGAUCAGAUUCAUAGGUACUCAGAUGUAUUAGGACUUCAGCAUAUCUUGAUGGGGACACAAUUCAACCCUAACAUGAGCAUGCAGACAAGUUGCCUGCUAUGGUGGAGCUGGGAUUCUGGCAGGUUACAUCUGUAAAAAUACUUUUGGGUGCAGACAAGAACUCCAUCUGAAACCUACUUUUAAAUCAAAACCAUGUUAUCUCACAUAACAAAAAGUCUAGGGCAGGAAAGAUUCCAAGCAUAUUGCAUCUGGAAACUCAUCUCUAUGUGCCUUGGCUCUGCUUUUUCCAGGAGGCUCCUCCUUCUAUUAGCUUCCCUCACUGUCCAAACAAAGGUCUCCAUCAGCAGCUGCAGUGAUAUACAGUAUUUCCUCUUGUUAGUGGAAAAGAAGGGCUAUGCCAAUCGUGUAAUAAGAAAGCACUUUUCUUGGCUCUUCCUGCAACAAUCUCUGGACAUCCAGCCAUGGCUUCUCACCCUUGGAACCGGGGCAAGGGGAGGAGUUGGGGGUUAGGAGGUACACUGUCUCCUUCCCCUAGAGCACAGGCUGGAGUGAGGAGUGCAUUAGCCCCAGCUGCCUUACCAAAGUACCACAUACCUGGUGGAAUAAAUAACAAAUUUGUUCUUUCACAGUUCUGUGGCCUAAAAGUCUGAGAUCAAGGUAUGAACAGGGCUGGUUUCUUCUGAGGCCUCUCCUUGGCUUGUAAAUGGUUGCCUUCUCUUCUCUGUGUCUUUACGUGAUCUUUCCUUCUAUGUGAUUGUGACCUAAUCUCUUCUUUUUGGGACGCUAAGUAUCCCAAUGUUAGGGCCCAUGCUAGUGACAUCAUUGUAAUUAAUUACUUCUUUAAAGAGCCUGUCUCCACACACAGACACAUUCUGAGGUCCUGGGAGUUAAGACUUCCACAAAUGAAAUUGGUAGUGUGUGUGUUCAGCCUAUUAGGAAGGAAGAUGGUGGAAGGAGGGUGGUCUUUCAGAAGUGGAAAACAGAAAUGAAUCCUGGAUGGGCAGCCAACAGAGUCCAGGAUAUGGGGAGAGAUUUGUAUAUGAUAAUUUCAGGUAAGAAAAAGUGCUUUUAAAGAAAAUAAAACAAGGUAAGGUAAUUUAGAUUAGAGGGGGUAAGCAGCAUUGGCAAGGGUGGUUGCAGAGGCCUCUAUGAAAAAGAAUACCCCCCACCAAAAAGAAUCAGGGUCAAGAACUGUGGAAUAGGAUGCUGUUAUUUAUCAUGUCUAUAUAUAUUUUUUUGGUACCUGGGAUUGAACUCAGGACCCUGCACUUGCAAGACAGGCAGCAGAACCAUGAGCUAAAUCCCCAGCUCUCAUGUCUAUAUUUUUAAAUGGAAGAGUAAAAGGAAAAAAAUUACUUAUUUGGGUGGAGGAAAGAGUGGAAAGGAUUGGGCUAGAAGAUAGAUUUCUCUGAAUAAACUUUAUUUUGUUGAUUUGACUUUGGAACUAUGUAAAUCAUUUACUUAAUUAUAAAACAAAAUUUAAAUUAUAAUGAAUUUCUAAAAAUUUAGCAAAAUAAAGUGAAGCUAUCCUGAUUAUAGUUUGAGGAAUGAUCAGAGAGAGAGGAACUAUUUCAAGCAAUUUUGAAAAAGCAAGUUGACUGUAUAUUCCUAAUGGCAUAAACUUGAGGACAAAAAGAAUUACAUAACAAGCCAAGUGCAGGGUAGGCCUGUAAUCCCACCACUCUGGGAGGCUGAGGCAGAGGCUCACAAGUUCAAGCUCAGCUUGGGCAAUUUAGAAUUUAGUAAGACUCUGUCUCAAAAUAAAAAUUAAAAAGGGCUCAAGAUGUAGCUCAGUGUGAAGGCCCUGGGUUCAAUUCACAGUGCUGGAAAAAACAACAGCAAUGAAAGAAACAACUUUUUAGUAAAAAUUUUUUACAGUAGUGUUGGCAUUGUUAUUUGGAGGAUUUUUUUAAAUGCAUGAUUAUUUUGUUGAUGUUGAGAGAAUUGUCAGAAUGAGAAAAAGGAAAGCAGAUGCAGAUCAAUGAAGUUAUGGUAAAAACCAUAAAACCAAAAACUGUACUUAUGAACUGAAUUGGAAGAAUCAACAUAAAGUCAUGUAAUGCUUUAUCUUUUUAAAAAAAUAGUAAUAAAUUUAUUUGCUAGUUGUAUCCAUGAAAGGCAAGAAACAAUGACCUAACAACCAACCAUCCCGGUGAGCACUCUAGUAUGGAGAUUUUUUUUUUUUUUUUGAGACAAGAUUUCACUUUGUAGUUCAGGUCGGCCUUGAACUCAUGGUGAUCUUUCUGACUCACCCUCCCGAAUGCUGGAAUUACAGGCCUAUACCACCACUCUUUGGGAGAUCUUAAUCUCCACCAUUUCCUACUUUCCCUACUAGAAGGAACCAAAGAUUCUUGGGAAGAAAUGGCUGGACAGAAUAUACAUAAGAUGUGCUUGAAACACCUUGUCAGACAAAAUAAUUAGGAGACUAGCAAGACUAGUAGAGUCAGGUCCAAAGGAAUGAGCCAAUUUGAAGCAGCUUCCAGGGGUUAAAGAUAGCAACAAUAAGAACAACUGCAAUGGCUGGAAACACACAUCACAUGUGUAUCAACCCCGAGUCCUCAAUGUACUCAAAAAAAUAAAAAGCAACCCUCACUGGUCACCUUGGAAAGAUGGAUACCAAGGAAACACCUCAUUUUUAAAACUGGAAAAUAAAGAGAACCAGAGAAAACAUUAAUUUAUCUUUCCUUUCUUAUACAAACAAAAUCUCAAGGUAGCCAAAUAAUUGGUGAAAGGACUUUUCUUUUUAUAAAGUAUAGCAGCUAAUAAAUGAAAAAACCCAAUAGCUCUACAAUGUUAAUCACAACCACUAAAGAAAUAAUGGUUCUAAGACCAGGGAUGUAGCUCAGCAGCACUGCACCUGCCCAGCAAGCCCAACGUCCUGAGUUUGAUCCCCGCUACUGGAAAAAAAAAAAAAAAAAAAAGUAAUAGUUCUAUGCAAUAAUCAUCAGGGGCUAACAAUACCAGGAAAGAGAUACAACUAGAUAUUAUUUGCCUCCUCCAGAGGGAUCUAUCACCACCAAUAAUGUGGUCUUGCCAAAAUAAAGCUAACUUGAACCUAAGUAAAUCUCUAGAUAUAACUACUGAUUUAUAAGAAAUAUAGAAGACAGAGGAACAUGUUAACAAAUACCAGAGAUGCACUCAGGAAUAUCCAGACUGUGAGAAUUUUUCCAGAGUAAACUACCCAAUAUUCCAUCUCUAGUACGUUUCUAGGUUAGUCUACUUUACAGUGAUGUGUGACAACCACUGCUUAAAACUGAGAUUAAAAGAGACUUGCAAGGCCCUUCAUCAGAUUACAAUGUAUGGGCAAAAUUCAAGCAGACAGACAAAAAAAUCAAGUCAGGGAAAUUUGAACAAUGACUAAAUACUUGAAAGUAUUGAUGAAUCUUUUUUUUUUAGGUAUGAAUGUUAUUGAGGUUAUGUUUUUGUAAAAAGUCCUAGGAGACACAUGCUGAAAUCUUCACAGAGGAAAUGAUAGGAUGUCCUGUAUCUGUUUCAACACCAUCAUAAGGACAAGGAUAAACCAUCCUGGACACCAUCUUCAUAUGACAUUUGAUCACUCAACUGGUGACACACUUCCUUCCCUCCACCUCAUACCAGGGCAAAAAUGAGGCAUUUUUAAAUAAAGUAUGUGAGGAAAUCUCCCCAGUAGAUUAAUGUGUAUUUGAGUAUGAAGAUUCCCUCACAAUGAA